This 1200-nucleotide long non-coding RNA is filed under the name Oryza sativa (Asian cultivated rice). Its description in RNAcentral is "long non-coding RNA (OSAT_LNC000175)". Lineage: Eukaryota; Viridiplantae; Streptophyta; Magnoliopsida; Poales; Poaceae. The record is from RNAcentral.
AAAGUCUUAGGAAAUGGUAUGAGCAACAAAUGAACCACAUAGUUCUUUUCUAUUGUUGUAUGGCUUGAUAGGUAUAAGUAAAGUACCUUUGUUGUUGCUUGAUUCCUUGCAAUACAUCAACUGUAAACUAUGUGUUGAACCAAAGUUGCAAAGUUUUGCUGCUAUUCUUGCUACUUAAUCUUCGUUUCUGUGUCUGUUCAGAAGGAAGCCCAUGACUUGAACUGAAAAGGUAACGUUACAAAAGAAUUAGUACAAGGCCGAAAGCAACAGGAAGGGUCUCCAACUGAAGAGAAUAGAAAAAAAAAAUCCAGAGGAGACCAUGGCAGAUAACAGAGAGGUUCAAAGCCUUUGCAUUGCUCUAUCUCAAAGACCCCGAACCAUCCUCAGUUCCAUUUAAAACGUGCUUAAUAGAAAGGUAAUGUUUCAGUAAAAAAUAAAAACUAACGUUAAAGCUUGGGUUACAGUACGAUUACGUCUUGAUGCAAACUUGCAAAGUGAGAGUCUGCUUCCUUGAUAAAAACAAAUUCCUGAAGACUUGGUGGUUUGUUGUUUUUCUACAAUAUUGCUUUGAGUUCUUGCUAAACUAUAGCUGUGUAAUGUAAUGAUGUAGCUAAGUUUCAGAUUCUGUGGUUCAUUAGUAUGCAGAGAUAUAAGCGUGAUAUUUACCAAUUUUCUAGCUCUCAUAAUGGGUUCCAUGUUCAAGUUUACUAGUGUUUCAGUAAAGCCUAAGUGGAAUCUUGAUAAUCUCUGAAUAGAGAAUUUUGAUUUUUUUAAAAAAGGAUUUAAAAUUCUGCUAAGUACUUAAGUACCAUGCCGAACUGGUACAUGCUAUUUGUAUUUUACUUAUGAUCUUUGUCAAUUUCUAAGAUUCUAAUCAUGGAUACGACUUGUCUAGGCCACGUGUGAUUCAUAAUGGUGACUGGUGGGCGUCUUCUAUGGCUGCAGCACUCUUGGAAUUCAACUUGGUAAUUGGUGUGAAUCAUCAAAUAUAUUGUUACAUGGUUCCGAAGUUCUAGGACGGUGUUGCAUAAUUGCAGCAUAUUGUUAUUAUAUUAAUCAUUCUAAGAUGAUGUUUUCGCUUCAAUAUACCAUGUAAGGUAUUCAAUUUUGUGACAUAGCCGUGAAAGUUUCUACCUAUCCAUCAUUUCUCAAUGAAACGUAUGUAAUGUAUAUUUUGAACUCAUCAUAUGGGAUUCUGAA